UCCCCAUCAUCGUUUCUCUUCCCUCUACCUCUCUCUUUCAUGGGGAGCUGACGAUUGUACACCCAAAACCCUAGCUGUGGCUCAUGGUCGAUGGCCAGGCGGCUGGGACGGUGGGUGUGAGGGGCCUCCAGGCAGUCAUGUAUGUGUGCGUUAGAGCAUGUCGGCGGCGGAGAGGACCACGGUGAGGCUGGAGUGCGGCCAUGAGAUCUUCUAUCUCGCAACCAUGCUUUUUGCCCAGGUAGCAGGCCUCAUGCCUUGGUAGUUGGUGCAGAUCCGAUAGAUAUAAGAGACAAGCUAAUAGGGGCAAAAUUAUUUAAAGCAUAUUUUCCUUCAAGAGCAUUGUGUUUACUAUAAUUUAGUAAGCAGAGAUUGCAGAGACUACUCAUAAGAAUGAAAGAAUCACCUGUUAACGAUGAGUCUGGUGAGGCAAGGCUAACCCUGGGGAGGCCCUCUCCGUGCCGAAGUCACUGGCGUUGGUACAGAAGCUUGCUGGCUCAUGAUCUUCUUUUCGGCAGCGGGCAGGCGCAAAGGAGGAAUGGGGGAAAAGCUAUAGCUGCAGCUUGCCGAUGCAAAUGAACACGAUGCCACCUUUCUUUAUCCAUGAGUAUAACAGACUGAGACCAUCAAGUUACCGUGGAGCUGAUUUGUUUCUUUUUUUCCUUCUCACCUAUCAGAAGGCCAACUAUAAGAAUGUCCCAAACUUUCAGUUUAAAGAAUAUUCCAAGGAAGGCACCAUGCUUAUUCUUAUUCAUCUUAUGCGAAUAAAUUUUUGCUC
Long non-coding RNA from Lolium perenne, 775 nucleotides. RefSeq lists it as uncharacterized. The record is from RefSeq and is a predicted model, not a curated record. NCBI's taxonomy places the organism in Eukaryota, Viridiplantae, Streptophyta, Magnoliopsida, Poales, Poaceae.